RNAcentral lists this ribosomal RNA (253 nucleotides) under uncultured bacterium. RNAcentral's name for it is "partial 16S ribosomal RNA". It matches the Rfam family "Bacterial small subunit ribosomal RNA", at positions 524 to 776 of the family's 1533-position model. The record is from RNAcentral.
UACGUAGGGUGCAAGCGUUGUCCGGAAUUAUUGGGCGUAAAGAGCUCGUAGGCGGUCUGUCGCGUCGGCUGUGAAAACCCGGGGCUCAACCCCGGGCCUGCAUUCGAUACGGGCAGACUAGAGUUCGGUAGGGGAGUCUGGAAUUCCUGGUGUAGCGGUGAAAUGCGCAGAUAUCAGGAGGAACACCGAUGGCGAAGGCAGGUCUCUGGGCCACUACUGACGCUGAGAAGCGAAAGCAUGGGGAGCGAACAGG